GCUCAGAGCGAACGCUGGCGGCAGGCUUAACACAUGCAAGUCGAGCGGGCAUAGCAAUAUGUCAGCGGCAGACGGGUGAGUAACGCGUGGGAACGUACCUUUUGGUUCGGAACAACACAGGGAAACUUGUGCUAAUACCGGAUAAGCCCUUACGGGGAAAGAUUUAUCGCCGAAAGAUCGGCCCGCGUCUGAUUAGCUAGUUGGUGGGGUAAUGGCCCACCAAGGCGACGAUCAGUAGCUGGUCUGAGAGGAUGAUCAGCCACAUUGGGACUGAGACACGGCCCAAACUCCUACGGGAGGCAGCAGUGGGGAAUAUUGGACAAUGGGCGCAAGCCUGAUCCAGCCAUGCCGCGUGAGUGAUGAAGGCCCUAGGGUUGUAAAGCUCUUUUGUGCGGGAAGAUAAUGACGGUACCGCAAGAAUAAGCCCCGGCUAACUUCGUGCCAGCAGCCGCGGUAAUACGAAGGGGGCUAGCGUUGCUCGGAAUCACUGGGCGUAAAGGGUGCGUAGGCGGGUCUUUAAGUCAGGGGUGAAAUCCUGGAGCUCAACUCCAGAACUGCCUUUGAUACCGAAGAUCUUGAGUUC
Molecule: ribosomal RNA, 583 nt
Filed under: Bradyrhizobium sp.
Lineage: Bacteria; Pseudomonadati; Pseudomonadota; Alphaproteobacteria; Hyphomicrobiales; Nitrobacteraceae
Description: bacterial SSU rRNA
Rfam family: Bacterial small subunit ribosomal RNA
Source: RNAcentral